GCAGGUGUAAGUCGACCAGGGAUGUGGGAGGCAGAGGGCCUGAGGCAGCUGGGAUCCCCACCCUUUCUUACCUGUGGGACCCCUUUUACUCAGGCAGAGAAAUUGACAGCAUUGGGAGCCCCCUCAGUCUGUAGCUGGGCAGGAGGAGCAACCCAGUUGGAUCCCAGCCCCAAAUACCCCUCCUUUCUCUGGGGUCCUGAGUGGGUGUGAACUUGCCUCCAUCGGGCUGAGGGCAGGGGCGCCAGCCAGCCCUGCUUCCCUGGGCAUCACUCAGCUCUGACCCCCAUAGGACUCCCCCAGCAACAAGCUGCUCUACGCCAAGGAGAUCUCUACCUACAAGAAGAUGGUGGAAGCUUAUUACAAGGGGAUCAGGCAGAUGGUGCAGGUCAGCGACCAGGACAUGAACACACACUUAGCAGAGAUUUCCCGGGCACACACAGACUCCCUGAACACCCUUGUGGCCCUGCACCAGCUCUACCAGUACACGCAGAAGUACUAUGAUGAGGUAGGAGGUCCAGUCCUCCCCAGGGU
This is a non-coding RNA of Manis javanica (Malayan pangolin), 531 nucleotides long. The record is from RefSeq and is a predicted model, not a curated record. NCBI's taxonomy places the organism in Eukaryota, Metazoa, Chordata, Mammalia, Pholidota, Manidae.